UGCAGUCGAACGGUAACAUUUCUAGCUUGCUAGAAGAUGACGAGUGGCGGACGGGUGAGUAAUGCUUGGGAACUUGCCUUUGCGAGGGGGAUAACAGUUGGAAACGACUGCUAAUACCGCAUAAUGUCUCCGGACCAAACAGGGCUUAGGCUCUGGCGCAAAGAGAGGCCCAAGUGAGAUUAGCUAGUUGGUGAGGUAAAGGCUCACCAAGGCAACGAUCUCUAGCUGUUCUGAGAGGAAGAUCAGCCACACUGGAACUGAGGCACGGUCCAGACUCCUACGGGAGGCAGCAGUGGGGAAUAUUGCACAAUGGGGGAAACCCUGAUGCAGCCAUGCCGCGUGUGUGAAGAAGGCCUUCGGGUUGUAAAGCACUUUCAGUUGUGAGGAAAAGUUAGUAGUUAAUACCUGCUAGCCGUGACGUUAACAACAGAAGAAGCACCGGCUAACUCCGUGCCAGCAGCCGCGGUAAUACGGAGGGUGCGAGCGUUAAUCGGAAUUACUGGGCGUAAAGCGCACGCAGGCGGUUUGUUAAGCUAGAUGUGAAAGCCCCGGGCUCAACCUGGGAAUAGCAUUUAGAACUGGCAGACUAGAGUCUUGGAGAGGGGAGUGGAAUUUCUGGUGUA
RNAcentral lists this ribosomal RNA (623 nucleotides) under uncultured bacterium. Its description in RNAcentral is "bacterial SSU rRNA". It matches the Rfam family "Bacterial small subunit ribosomal RNA", at positions 56 to 677 of the family's 1533-position model. The record is from RNAcentral.